ACUGCCAGUAGCUUUGAAAUGUACGGAAUCAGCGGCAGGUUGAGGAUCAGCAACACAAUGUUCCCCACGUACAUCGAGAUGAUGACGGACCAGAACACAUCCGGGUGAUCGACAAACAGACGUGGGCC
Molecule: non-coding RNA, 128 nt
Organism: Vibrio furnissii NCTC 11218
Lineage: Bacteria; Pseudomonadati; Pseudomonadota; Gammaproteobacteria; Vibrionales; Vibrionaceae
Source: Rfam